RNAcentral lists this small RNA (25 nucleotides) under Arabidopsis thaliana (thale cress). Its description in RNAcentral is "ATSL066920". The record is from RNAcentral. Lineage: Eukaryota; Viridiplantae; Streptophyta; Magnoliopsida; Brassicales; Brassicaceae.
AAGAGGUUUAAAAGAAUUGAUUUGA